Nannospalax galili (Upper Galilee mountains blind mole rat) is the source of this 130-nucleotide small nucleolar RNA. NCBI's taxonomy places the organism in Eukaryota, Metazoa, Chordata, Mammalia, Rodentia, Spalacidae. The record is from Ensembl.
AGCAUUUCUGUUUCUGUUUAACUUGUGGACAAAGACAUAUAGACAGGUGCAAAAUGAAAUCCUCUUUUGCAAAUCAGAGGUACUGAUCAUACUCAUUGAUCAGUAUGAGCUACACAUAAAAAAGAAUAUG